This 774-nucleotide ribosomal RNA is filed under the name uncultured Neocallimastigales. RNAcentral's name for it is "partial large subunit ribosomal RNA". It matches the Rfam family "Eukaryotic large subunit ribosomal RNA", at positions 24 to 635 of the family's 3401-position model. Lineage: Eukaryota; Fungi; Neocallimastigomycota; Neocallimastigomycetes; Neocallimastigales. The record is from RNAcentral.
UAUGUGAUCGUCUCUCGCAUAUCAAUAAGCGGAGGAAAAGAAACUAACAAGGAUUCCCCUAGUAACGGCGAGUGAAGCGGGAAGAGCUCAAAUUUGAAAUCUUAAAGGGUUUCCCUUUACGAAUUGUAGUUUAAAGAAGUGUUUUCUGUUGAGGUUUUGGUAAAAGUUCUUUGGAAUAGGACAUCAUAGAGGGUGAGAAUCCCGUAUUUGACCUUUACUUUCAACUUUGUGAUACACUUUCAAAGAGUCGGAUUGUUUGGGAAUGCAGUCCAAAAUGGGUGGUAAAUUUCAUCUAAAGCUAAAUAUUGGCGAGAGACCGAUAGCGAACAAGUACCGUGAGGGAAAGAUGAAAAGAACUUUGAAAAGAGAGUUAAACAGUACGUGAAAUUGUCAAAAGGGAAGCGUUUGACACCAGUGUUGUUCUUCUGAAAAUCAAUUAAAGAACUGUUUAUGCUAAGUUGUUUAGACUUUAUCAGCUAACUGUUUAGUUUUGAGCUUUUCUUUAAUGCACUUUUCAGUUAACAAGUCAACAUCAAUUUCUUUUGCUGUAAAAAAGCUUGAGGAAGGUGGCUUGAGAUUCGUCUUAAGUGUUUAUAGCCUCUUGCCUAUGCAGUCGGAGAGAUUGAGGUCUGCAGCGUAGAUCCUUCGGGGCUAAAUGCAUUUGUGCUAAGUUAUAGCAUUUUAUAGACAACUUGUUGACUAUGAUUUGUCUUGUAGCUUACUCGCUUAUGUUAUUUUACCUACGCUUAGGAUGUUGAUCUACAGAGCGAGAGU